RNAcentral lists this long non-coding RNA (756 nucleotides) under Coccomyxa subellipsoidea. Its description in RNAcentral is "long non-coding RNA (CSUB_LNC000325)". The record is from RNAcentral. Lineage: Eukaryota; Viridiplantae; Chlorophyta; Trebouxiophyceae; Coccomyxaceae.
CUUGCGCUAGCUUACCACCAAUUCUUGGUGAUUGCAGCACGCGUAGACCAUGUCCUCCUUCGAGGGCUAUAGGCAGAACAACGACAGCGACAGAACACAGGUGCGCGUCGCCAUCAAAGUUGUCAUUGUCUUUCCCAAGCGCCAUGUUUUAUCGCCGCGAUCUCGAGAUCACAUCGAUCGCACAACUUGUGCUGUGCAAGUUCAAGAGCUGUGCAGCAAAGUAGACUAUUGUCGGGGCAGAAGAUCUCCUUUCAAGAAGGGAAAGCCCUGAUGAGGUGUUGCCAAAGGCCAGCAAUGCAUUUAUGCAGUUAGAUCCCAACCACCGAGGAUAAUGAUCAGAUCUAUUCAAUGCAACUUUUACGUGGAUUUUUGCAGUAAGUGCAACCUCGUAUCCUGUAUGCAUUCUUGGUGUGCCCACCACCAUAGCCUUGCUGAGAGUGUGCUGUGGGGUGUCACCAGGCGAGAGGUCCUAGGAGAGCAGCAAAGGUGUGUUGACAUCGCCAGCAGUGUAGAGAUGGUGUUCAGACGGCUUUUCGAAAACCUGUUUCAAAACAGUGUAUUGGCUUGGUUACACAGCCUGCCAUAAAUCCAACACUUGUUUGAGACUGAAACAAACCUGCCUUCUUUGCUAGCAGCAAGCUUUGAUCGCCACCGUGCUUGCAACAGGCACCACCUCCACCAUCAAAGCAGCCAGCUCCUUAUGGACCUACACCCAACUCAACCACAGUGACGCCCAUGCACCAUGACGGCAGAAGC